This is a long non-coding RNA of Brassica napus (rape), 791 nucleotides long. RefSeq lists it as uncharacterized. The record is from RefSeq and is a predicted model, not a curated record. The transcript is spliced from 6 exons. Lineage: Eukaryota; Viridiplantae; Streptophyta; Magnoliopsida; Brassicales; Brassicaceae.
GAAAGUAUAGUGAAGGGCAUUGAAAACGUGGUCCGGUCCUACACUGAAAAGGUAAUAAGAAACCAUUUAAGAUUGAAUUGACAGCAGCUUAUCGCCAGUUUUAAGUUGGGGUUGUUUGGUAAUGCUUUAACUAUGCUCCCUACCUAACCUUCUUUAUAGCCUAACCGCAUCAUUUUGGCAAUUUCCCCUGCAAACCAAGAUCGUGCUGCCUCAGAUGCGAUUAUAAUUUCCCGUGAAGUUGAUCCAUCUGGGGAGAUAACGUUUGGUGUCUUGAAAAAUAUUGAUCUUAUGGACAAGGGGACCGAUGCAGUGGACAGGUUAGGGAAGUCUUCAGUCCUGGAAAGCAUAGUAGGAAAGGACUCUUUACCACGUGGAUCUGGUAACCACACUUUUUGCCUCGUUUUAAAUUUGAAAUCGCUUGUUCCCUUGUGUGUAAUGAAAAAUGAAUUUGGGAGAAACUGUUUGUAGGUAUAGUUACUAGAAGGCCCCUUGUCUUAAAGUUGCAAACGAUUGAUGAUGGAACUCGGGAGUAUGCUGAGUUUCUUCACCUCCCAAGGAAAAGGUUCACCGAUUUUGCUGCCGUGAGGAAGGAGAUUCAAGAUGAGAUUGACAGGGAGACCGGACGCAGCAAGGCCAUUUCUAGUGUUCCCAUUCACCUUAGCAUAUAUUCUCCCGAUGUUGUCAACUUGAGACUGAUUGAUCUUCCAGAGCUUACAAAAGUUUCUGUUGAUGGACAAUCUGAAAGUAUAGUGAAGGGAAUUGAAAACGUGGUCCGGUCCUACAUUGAAAAG